Non-coding RNA from Polypterus senegalus (gray bichir), 803 nucleotides. The record is from the annotation of a RefSeq genome assembly. NCBI's taxonomy places the organism in Eukaryota, Metazoa, Chordata, Cladistia, Polypteriformes, Polypteridae.
ACCACUGUUUCAUUUAGUAGAAACACUGAGAAAACCAUCAUGAACUUAAAGCUCUACUUUAUUAAAUCUUUGCAACAAACUUUCCUCAUGUGGAUAUUUUUUCUUCUGUCUGAAGAUCACCAUGGAGCGGCAGUAGCAGGAGUACAUGUGGAAGUCGCUUUGGGGGGGAAUGUUACUUUCAAUUGUAAUGCUUCACAUGACAACACAGUACAGAUGAACUGGAAGAAAAGCAAUUCAUGUGCAUCAGAACUUCUUUUUGCUUAUACUGCCAAUGAGACUUUUAUUAAUAUAACCACAGAAAGAAUUAAGUGGAGUAAAGAAAAUCCACUGACUCUUCAUAUUACCGAUGUGCAGUCAUCUGAUGAAGGGAAUUACAGCUGUGAUGUGACAUCAACACAAGGAGUAAAGGACAUGAAGUGGGAGCUCACAGUCCGUCUAGAAACAGGUCCACAUUUCAUUACUGCUACAGAUUGCAGGACAGCAUGAACGCAAGAGAUGAUCUAAAAGUUAGUAUUAUUCAGAUUGUACUUGUGCAACUGCUGCAUAGUGUAAAAAGGGCCAAUUACCUCACAUUUUAACUUUUUAUAUGGAAAUAAUGAACAUUCUGGCUAUGCUUGAUUGUGUAAAAUAAAAAACAAAAAUAAUAAUCCAAAUACACAAAAAUUAUAAAUGUCAUGGUGUCUGAUUUUGUGAUUAUUCAUUGUGAUUGUAUUAUGAUGUCAAGUUUAUAUAUAUGUUGUUUAUAUCUUGUUACAACUUUAUUUUAUCCCACCAAAGGUCCAAAUCUACACCACAUUACGUAC